UGUCCUUUCGUGUUUAAAAUGAAAAUUUUCGGUUGAGGAUAUGUUUACAUGUUAAAACGUGACAUCCCACUUUUAUUUCAUUUUUUAUUUUCCUGAUGUUGGUUUGGACUGGGCCGCACGCAUUUAUGCUCUUCCCACCCCUUCAUUCUAGCCCAAUUUCUUAUUUCAACUGAAUGGCCUUGUAUCUAAAUUACUUGUCUGCACCCCCUUUCCUUUCUCUUUUCUUAUUGAAUAUUUGUUUCUUUCCUU
RNAcentral lists this long non-coding RNA (249 nucleotides) under Lathyrus oleraceus (garden pea). RNAcentral describes it as "Pisum sativum (pea) long non-coding RNA (PSAT_LNC014357)". Lineage: Eukaryota; Viridiplantae; Streptophyta; Magnoliopsida; Fabales; Fabaceae. The record is from RNAcentral.